UACAGAGGUGGCAAGCGUUGCUCGGUAUCACUGGGCUUAAAGGGCGCGUAGGCGGUGCGGUACGGUUUCGGUGAAAUCCCUCGGCCCAACCGAGGAACAGCCGGAGCUACGGCCGGACUAGACGGCAUCAGGGGACAGUGGAACUCCCGGUGGAGCGGUGAAAUGCGUAGAUAUCGGGAGGAACGCCGGUGGCGAAAGCGACUGUCUGGGGUGCCUGUGACGCUGAGGCGCGAAAGCCAGGAGAUCAAACGGG
RNAcentral lists this ribosomal RNA (253 nucleotides) under uncultured bacterium. RNAcentral describes it as "partial 16S ribosomal RNA". It matches the Rfam family "Bacterial small subunit ribosomal RNA", at positions 524 to 776 of the family's 1533-position model. The record is from RNAcentral.